GAGGACAUAGCUCACAGUAGAGCACAUGCUUAGCAUGCACAAGGUCCUGGGUUCAAUCCCCAGUACCUCCA
This 71-nucleotide transfer RNA is filed under the name Camelus bactrianus (Bactrian camel). It matches the Rfam family "tRNA". Rfam says of the family: Transfer RNA (tRNA) molecules are approximately 80 nucleotides in length. Their secondary structure includes four short double-helical elements and three loops (D, anti-codon, and T loops). Further hydrogen bonds mediate the characteristic L-shaped molecular structure. tRNAs have two regions of fundamental functional importance: the anti-codon, which is responsible for specific mRNA codon recognition, and the 3' end, to which the tRNAs corresponding amino acid is attached (by aminoacyl-tRNA synthetases). tRNAs cope with the degeneracy of the genetic code in two manners: having more than one tRNA (with a specific anti-codon) for a particular amino acid; and 'wobble' base-pairing, i.e. permitting non-standard base-pairing at the 3rd anti-codon position. Lineage: Eukaryota; Metazoa; Chordata; Mammalia; Artiodactyla; Camelidae. RNAcentral also lists the same sequence under 1 other name. The record is from Rfam by way of RNAcentral.